CAGAAAACUAUAGAAGGAGGUUGUUGGCAGAGUGAAAGGUUCAUGGGUAGUAGGGUGAGGGAGGGUUGCCUAGGUAAGUGGACCUAGGUUGGAACAAAGGAUUGAUGUCUGGGUCAUGUUGGGUGCUCAAGCUUCUAGAAGGCAUUUAUAAUCAAAAGACUGUUCUAUAACUCUGUGGCCUUCCAAGUUUGUCCUAAAGGUUCAUGCCAAGCUGUAUGGAUUCCAACAAAAAUAUGCACUAAAAAAUCAUAGAGUAAACCUUCUGAUGCACAGAGAAGCCCUGAGCCACAAUCAGAAUAAUACAGACAGGAAGUAAAGCUUUCCUGUUGUAAGCUAGAAUCUAGGAAAGGGUUGCUGGAAACUCACUCAGUCAAAAGUACCUUUAGAAAGUGUUGUGUGCUGUCAAAUUGAGGCAUAUACAAUGGAAUUUUUUUUUUUUACAUUUUAUCCAGUGUUCCGCUUUCCAUUACUUUGCUCCUUUUACAACAAGCAGUGAGGAGGGAUAAAUAAAUGAGUCAGUACCAAAGACAGAGAAUUCCAAAUUAAUUGCCAUUAUUUGCUUUGCAUUCCUGGAUUUGAAAUUCUCUCAUUGUUCAUUCCUAUUUAAUCACUAUUUGAAUGCUUGGACUCCUCCAAUAGGAGGCAGACAUAAAAAAGUCUUUAAUGUUUUUAACAGUCAGGGUCAGCUAUGUGAGAAUUGCAUAUUCCAUUCCAAGGAAAAAAACUUUUAUAAAAUCAGCUACUUAAAAAAAAUAUCUGUUAAACCAGAUUCUGAUUUAUAUGUAAGCACAUUUUCACUCACUCAGGAAAUUCCAAAAAGAGGAAAAAAUUUGUACUAUAUUCAGGCUUCAAAAAGCCCAAAGGCAUAGGAACAGAAUUAGUGAAGCAUAAUAAAUGUUAGAGGGGUGGUUGACUUUCUGAGGUAAUGAGGAGGAUAUUUAUAAUUUUAUUCAGAUUUUUUUUGCCAUGUGGGACUACUCAUUUUCCAGUAGAUGGAUGAACAUUGAUGCAUAUGGAUGCAUAUUGAUGCAGUUGUUAUCAAAGAUAGCAAAAGAAGCUUCAAUGUAAUAGUGAUAUUAGAAGACGGAGAGAAAAUUUUUAUGAGAAAUUGUGGAUUCUUCAAAACAACAGGUUCAUCAAAUAAUAUUAAUGAAGAUUUUGUGAUUACAAAGUGAAUAUAAGACACAAAAACAUGAUGGCAACAUGCAAAUGUAACUGGGCAAUAAACUAUUAGGUUUUAAAACAGACAAAAAUUAUUUUUUGAAAGUUAAUCACAUUUAUACUUCUUUUAAAAAUAAGUGAAUAUAAGUUUAUUUCUUUGUUUCUAAGUCAGUGUCUGACACUAUGUUCCAGUUAGGUCAAUUUGGCAUAAGGUUUGAAAAAGGGAUUUUUUCUUCUAUCCAAGUUGAUUUUCUUUACCACGCUGAAAUAUGUGUGUGUGUGUGUGUGUGUGUGUGUGUGUGUGUGUGUGUGCGUGCGUACAUAUGACAGAGAUAGCAUUGUAAUUCAUGUCUAUAAAUAUAUUUAUAAUUUUUAUUUUUUAUAAUAUUUAUUACAUAAUUUAUAUAAUAUAUUUUAAGAAUAGAAUUAAAGUACAUAAAACAUAUAUUGAAAAUAGAAAAUUUGAUCACAGAGCCUAUGCAGUCAGACACACUAGACAGCCGAGUGUCACUAUCAUGAAAAAUCCUGACAGGACUGGAGAUUGUCUGGUAUAUUGCUACAAUCUUGUCAAAAGCAGCUAGAAAUUUGCUCAGCCACCAGGCACCAUUGGGCAGUGCUGGCUACUGCUAAAUAGAGGAUGAGGCAUGUGUAAACUGUAUUUAAUCCUUUGUUCCCAUUUCAAUCCCUCUGCUUCUUUCACACUAAUAGGGAGGAGGGAGAGAUAGAUGAAUCAAUAGCUUUGACAGAGAUCUCCAAGAACUGCAGUCAUUUGUUUCCAUUACUGGGUUUUAGAUCUCUUUCCUGAUUUGUUCCAAAUGCAUCUCUAAAUGCAUGCCCUCUUCCAAUAGGAGGCAUUCAUAUCUAAUAAAAAUGAUAGUACUGGAGGAUUUUUUCCAGUCAGGAUCCUGGCUUUAUUCCAGCUAAGAGCUGGAAUUUAGCCAAAGCCUAACUGUAAACAACUCCAGAGAAAGGAAACAUGCAGGAGACAGGGGUAAUUAAAACCUAGGAUAUGGUAGGUGAUUAAUGGGAUUUGCAAAAAUGCUGUCAUGAAUAACUGCUCCUGUUUGCUGAGAAGGACUGGUGCCAUAUCUCUGAAGCCACAGCUUCAGCCAUAAUAUCUAUGGUUUCUGGUUAAGUCUUGGGUCAUGCAUUUUGUGCAAGAAGAUUUACUUUUAACUCAAUACUUGACAGAAACUGUGCUUAUAUUGAUCAAAUAUGCUCUUGGAGGGUACAGAAUAAAUGGCUAUAAUUGGUAGAAUUCUUAUUUAGCCAUCUGAGACUCUGUGGAUGUCAAGUGUUAGAUUCCACAUAUAAGUGUGUCUGUGGAAUCUGACAUAGCAUCAAAAAUCAUUGCAGCCCAGCUGCAGGUGGCAGCAUGGAAUCAUAAUCAGCCAUCAAAAGGCAGAGAUAAAGGAUUUCAACUAGAUUGCCUGGAUAUGAGCACAAGCAGGUGGAUAAAUGUUCAUGCCUAUUUACCGAAGGGUUUUUUUUCUUUUUUGUUAGUUGUAUUCAGUGCCUAGGAACAAUUAUAUUAUUUUCUGUCAUCUGUUUUCUGUGAUUAAUGAAGCAGCACAUAUUAAGUUAGAAUGGAAAAAUGAAUCAGCAGCUUAAAGUAGAUCUCCAAGAUAACUCAGAAUUUUCUUCCAAUUGGUGGGAUUGAGAUUACUCUUCCUAUUGGUCCAGGAUCCAAUCAAACUUUGAAUGAACACAGACCUUCAAAUAGAGGCAAGUAGAACUAAUAUGUUGUCAGAAUUGCAGGUUAUAUGAGGUAGGCUCUGGCUGUAUUCCAAAACUCAGUAGCACCUGGACAUAACAAAAUCCCUUUAUCCCAGACAAAGGCAACUAAAUGUUCCUGAAGUAUGCAGGAAACAGAAUGCAUACAAAAGAGUAAAUUCCAGGAUUAUUUGAUUCCUCUCCCCUCCCCUUAUACUCCCAAUUAGCUCAGGAGUUUCUGCCCCUUCCCAUUCCUGGGGUCCAGGAUUACCAGCCUACAAUCCUCUUCACCAAAGAAAUUAGGAAACAUGAUAUACAGUUUAUUUUAAAGGGAAAGUAUGGAAAAGAAAAAAAAAAGAUCAUCAAUCAUUAGCAUUUCUUCUAAAAGAUGAGGCCAAACAAGAGACAAUCAGGAAAAAAAAUGUAAAACAGAUAACAAUGACAAUUUGAUUAAAAAUCUAUGCUAGGCAUAGACUAUAAGGUGCUCAGCAUGAUACAAACCCAUGGAUCUUUUUCUAUAUUCCCCAUGACUGCCAAAAGGACUAAUUUGGCACACAAUUGGCACUAUAUCCACAGAGUUUAAGUGUAAGCAUAAAAAGCCACAAUAAAUAAUUGUUGAAAGACCACUAUAGAAUAUAUUUUAUGCCACAGCCUGGAAUAUUUACAUUUAUGAAAGAUGAAACAGUAUACCUCCUUUCAAGGAGGUUGAAAAGUGUAUUUUUUCGGAUGCUCUAUUUACAAGUAAUUCCUAAAAAGCUACUUAUGUUAUUACAUAGGCCAAGUUAGUUAUUAGUCAAGAAAAUACAGUAUUUAAAUCAGGAAAAUAUGGCCAUAUCAAUCUGAAUGAUUUCCAUGAUAACAUUCUAUGUUGCUUAAUAAAGUCAUCUAAUUAUAAAAUAUUUACAGUUUGACACUUGGUUCCUGCCCAAGUCUGCUGUGUCAUUCCUAAUCUGGAAUAGAUAGUUUAGAUUUACUUACAGUGUGAAAAUUAAUCACUUCAUAACUACUAUCAUAAAAUUACAUUAGCAGUAGAAGCAUCACUUCUAUAAUCACAGACAUAAAAUAGCUAAAUAAAAAAGGGAAAGGUAAUCUUACUACAUUAUUCUUAGUUAAAGAUAAGGGAAUAAGUAUAGCAUUAUUUCACAACUGCAGUCGUGAAAAUCUCCUGUGUCAUGAUAUACCAUCAACACACAGAGAACCAGAAUUACUGUACAGUUUACUAAUUAUAAUCUACUAAAAUAAAAAUAAUACAUACAAGAAACCUACCAUGCAAAUAUUCUCAGCAUACUACUGGCUUCUAACAAAACAACCUGAAAGAGCUCAUGUGAUGACCUAAUGCAAUCUGAAACAAACUGUAGUGCUUACCAACCAGUCUUCAUGCAAUUACUGGUGUUUAUGUAAUGAUCUGGGGAGAGUUAUAGUUUUAAUAUAAGUGUUUUACGGAUAAUUACGAAAAAUUUUUAAUGACAAUAAUUUGUGUUACUAUUUUUCUUCUACACCUUGAGAUAUGGGAACAUGAAGAGAGCAGAACAAAUCAAUUGCAGAUAGUGAAACACGGUGACUGUCAUCAUUUACAUGAUAUAUAGAAAACUUGGAAAAGCAUAACAAUCCAGUAAAAUUAAUUUCUCUCUACUACUUGCUACUUGCAAUUACUCAAAAGCAAAAUCACAGUUUAGUAAUACAUUUAAGUAUGCUUUAUAUGAUACCAUAAAAUUACAUACAUUUUCUCACAGAAAUUGCAUAUUCAUAUAUAUGUGUGUAUAAAUUCAUGUGUGUGUGUAUAAAUUCAUAGGUGUGUACUGUACUUCCAUUAUUUUAAUCCAAACUUCUCAGUGAAUCAGACACAGAAUAUAGAGGAGUUUUCUCUACAGUCCUCAUCCUCCUCUCAUUGAAUUGUAUGAAACUGCCUUGCAGAAGAAUACCAGGCACUUAUCAAUUUCCUGAAUUUUGUAUACAGUAUUCUGAAAGUAGAUUGUAAAACUGGAGGAACAAAGAGGACUACACCAUAAGUAGGGACAAAGCAGGAUACAAUGAUCUACUGAGUGUUUAUCUAUGUGGAAUUUGAGUUAUAUUUUAUGCUAUUUUUAUUUUGUGGUAAUACUGUGGAAUUCAGGUAGACAUCUCAUUAAGCAAAAGGCUCAUUUGAAAAUGUGUAAACCUGAGAUAUUUCUUGGCAUAAUCAUAUUUAAAAAAGCAGGCAUACUGAUAUUAUAUAUUUGCAGGACAUGAGAGAAUGGUGUUAACAGGAAGUUCUCUGACUCUAUGUAUCCAGCUAGGUUAGACUGGCAUAUUCCUGUCCAAGGAUGAAACCUAUGGAAAAUCAGUUAGUUUUAAUACACUUCUGAAUCAAAACAAUACUUCCAAAGUAAAAUACGCUUAAUUUAUUUCUUUAAUAUGAAGAAAAUGAGAGAUAGUUUAUUCCAGUUGGACUAUUUGGAAAAGAGCUUGAAAAAAAACAUAUCUUUCAUUAAUAUAUGAAAAAUUUAUAGGGUUAAAUAAUUGGUUGAAAUAUAUUAGGUAUUUUAAUUUCAUUUCAGUGUAAUCAUAUAUUUUAAUCAUGUAAUACUAUAUUUUGCC
RNAcentral lists this long non-coding RNA (5451 nucleotides) under Cricetulus griseus (Chinese hamster). Its description in RNAcentral is "lncRNA (ENSCGRG00015034478.1)". The record is from RNAcentral. Lineage: Eukaryota; Metazoa; Chordata; Mammalia; Rodentia; Cricetidae.